GUCCAGGCCGCUUAGCACGGUCGCGUUUUUAUCCCUUGUCACCAUGCCUGUCACGUUCUAACAAGUAUGUAAGUGCGAAAGGGACGCGCAUAGUGAUAGUCGAUAAAAAUGGAACCGUGCUGAGCCUGCAGGUCUUGUAUAAAUUAAAAACAUUUACAAAUAAUUAACUUUAGAGGUGUAGGUGGGCUACUAUUCUAUAAAAUGGCGUAGAAUACAUACAAUUCAAUAGUGCUGGGGGCCGAUUUUUGAAUUUUGACCGCUCGAGUUCGUGUUAUUCGUUCAAUAAUAUCUCCACUACUAGGCAUUCAAAUUCUACUAAUAGAAUUGAAAACGAGUGGUCAAUACCAUUAGAUUCCCAGUUUCUAUCGCUCGUAUUUCAAAAAUCAGCAUUUCGCCGUUUUACACCGAUUUUCGAGUGAUGAAAUCGAGCGGUAGAAAUUCAAAAAUCGCCCCCCUGCUCGAAUUGUAGCAUUUUACUAGUGAAAUUGCACCUAUGUGUGGACCUUUUUAAAUGCUUUAUAAUGCGGUGUCUGUGUAGUUUGUAGUCUGUGUACUAAUCCUAUUGUUUUAGGAGUUGAAAAUCUAUUUUUUGUGAAAGAUUUGAUGUUUUUUGAAAAUAAAUAAUGAUUUUUAGCAAUUUACGAAA
Molecule: long non-coding RNA, 646 nt
Organism: Cydia splendana
Lineage: Eukaryota; Metazoa; Arthropoda; Insecta; Lepidoptera; Tortricidae
Exons: 2
Source: RefSeq, a predicted model, not a curated record